RNAcentral lists this ribosomal RNA (253 nucleotides) under uncultured bacterium. RNAcentral's name for it is "partial 16S ribosomal RNA". It matches the Rfam family "Bacterial small subunit ribosomal RNA", at positions 524 to 776 of the family's 1533-position model. The record is from RNAcentral.
UACGUAGGGUGCAAGCGUUAAUCGGAAUUACUGGGCGUAAAGCGUGCGCAGGCGGUGAUGUAAGUCAGGUGUGAAAUCCCCGGGCUUAACCUGGGAACUGCAUUUGUGACUGCAUCGCUGGAGUGCGGCAGAGGGGGAUGGAAUUCCGCGUGUAGCAGUGAAAUGCGUAGAUAUGCGGAGGAACACCGAUGGCGAAGGCAAUCCCCUGGGCCUGCACUGACGCUCAUGCACGAAAGCGUGGGGAGCAAACAGG